CCUACGGGAGGCUGCAGUGGGGAAUAUUGGACAAUGGGGGCAACCCUGAUCCAGCCAUGCCGCGUGUGUGAAGAAGGCCCUCGGGUUGUAGAGCACUUUCAGUGAGGAAGAACGCCUGGUGGUUAAUACCCAUCAGGAAAGACAUCACUCACAGAAGAAGCACCGGCUAACUCCGUGCCAGCAGCCGCGGUAAUACGGAGGGUGCGAGCGUUAAUCGGAAUUACUGGGCGUAAAGCGCGCGUAGGUGGCUUGAUAAGCCGGUUGUGAAAGCCCCGGGCUCAACCUGGGAACGGCAUCCGGAACUGUCAAGCUAGAGUGCAGGAGAGGAAGGUAGAAUUCCCGGUGUAGCGGUGAAAUGCGUAGAGAUCGGGAGGAAUACCAGUGGCGAAGGCGGCCUUCUGGACUGACACUGACACUGAGGUGCGAAAGCGUGGGUAGCAAACAGGAUUAGAUACCCUAGUAGUC
This 465-nucleotide ribosomal RNA is filed under the name Vreelandella stevensii. RNAcentral describes it as "partial 16S ribosomal RNA". It matches the Rfam family "Bacterial small subunit ribosomal RNA", at positions 338 to 795 of the family's 1533-position model. Lineage: Bacteria; Pseudomonadati; Pseudomonadota; Gammaproteobacteria; Oceanospirillales; Halomonadaceae. The record is from RNAcentral.